GAUGAACGCUGGCGGCGUGCCUAAUACAUGCAAGUCGAGCGAACAGACGAGGAGCUUGCUCCUCUGACGUUAGCGGCGGACGGGUGAGUAACACGUGGAUAACCUACCUAUAAGACUGGGAUAACUUCGGGAAACCGGAGCUAAUACCGGAUAAUAUAUUGAACCGCAUGGUUCAAUAGUGAAAGACGGUUUUGCUGUCACUUAUAGAUGGAUCCGCGCCGCAUUAGCUAGUUGGUAAGGUAACGGCUUACCAAGGCAACGAUGCGUAGCCGACCUGAGAGGGUGGUCGGCCACAUGGGAACGGAGACACGGACCAGACUCCUACGGGAGGCAGCAGUAGGGAAUGUUACGCAGUGGGCGAAAGCAUGACGGAGCAGCGCCGCGUGAGUGAUGAAGGUCUUCGGAUCGUAAAACUCUGUUAUUAGGGAAGAACAAAUGUGUAAGUAACUAUGCACGUCUUGACGGUACCUAAUCAGAAAGCCACGGCUAACUACGUG
RNAcentral lists this ribosomal RNA (497 nucleotides) under uncultured bacterium. RNAcentral's name for it is "partial 16S ribosomal RNA". It matches the Rfam family "Bacterial small subunit ribosomal RNA", at positions 28 to 507 of the family's 1533-position model. The record is from RNAcentral.